Spodoptera frugiperda (fall armyworm) is the source of this 2623-nucleotide long non-coding RNA. RefSeq lists it as uncharacterized. The record is from RefSeq and is a predicted model, not a curated record. NCBI's taxonomy places the organism in Eukaryota, Metazoa, Arthropoda, Insecta, Lepidoptera, Noctuidae. The transcript is spliced from 2 exons.
UAAAGAGUAAAAGAGAGAUAUAGUGCGACUAUUAUUUUUUUUAUUACGUUUUUAUAUUAUUAUAGUUUAUCAUAUAAACUACAUAUUUAUACAAUGUGUUAUAUCAACCCUAUCUAUGCGAAAAGUAUAUUAAAAUUUAAAUUAUUUUCAAGUUUAAGCGACUUUCGUGCAAUGUUACUCAUGUGUAUGAGCUUCGAGUUCGGCUCGAAACUAGUUGAGUUACCACGUCAACCAUUAAAGUGGUUAACCGUUAAAUAAUUUUAAUAUGACAAAUUAUUCUUAAAUCGAUCGUUAGAUCGAUGCCAGCAAGUUAUACCAAAAUAAAGGAAUCUUGUAGAUUGAAGUCGCUUUUAAUUUGACAAUAUUAAUGAAAAUCACACUAAUAAGUACUAUAAAUGUGAAAGUUUGUUUGUUUAGAUGUUUGUCCAUCAAUCACGCUGAAACUACAGCGUAAGAGCUGACUUGGAUGAUAGGAUACUUUUUAUCCCACAGGAACGCGACCGAAGCCGCUGGCAGAAGCUAAUUAUCAAUAAAAAAAUACACUAUACCUUACCACAUAUAACAGGGUUCACAUAACAUUAUGUAUAAACUUGAAAUCAGUACAUAAUACACUAACAUACAUUUAUUUUUGUUUAAUUUUUCGAUUCAAAAUCUAGUAUCUACAUACGGAGUACAUUAUCUCAUAACGUAUUCGCUCUUACCCGACUGCUUGAAAAAGAGAUAUUGUGUGGUUUGAAAGCAUUUACUUAACAUAAUGAUCGCCAGGUAAAAAGGAGCAUAAUCUAGAAUAGGGUGACUGGUAAUUAGUGAACGAUAUUUAAACACGUGAUUGUACUCAUGAUUACAAACAACUUUCCCAAAGAAUUUUUUGUAUACUCAUUAGUUUUAUUUUUAUCACAAUAACAAAACAACAAAAUUUCAUUAGCACGCGCGCGUAAAGUUCCAAAAUACCUACUAGUCUUCCGAUAACGCGGGCGCGGGCGCCUCGCUGCUAACAGCUGAUCAUGCGAAAGCACGCGCGCGCGAAAUUUUAUUGUUUUGUUAUUGUGAUAAAAAUAAAACUAAUCAGUAUACAAAAAAAAAUCUUUGGGAAAGUUGUUUGUAAUCAUGAGUACAAUCACGUGUUAAUAUAUCGUUCACUAAUUACCAGUCACCCUAUAUACACCCAUUUUUCACCUGUUAUCUUAUGAGUCUCAUAUAAUAGAGAGUCUAUGACCAUACAUUGGUAACAGACUACGUGUAAAAGCACUAACUGCGAAUAUUGUAAAGCGAAAAGCUCAAUAAUACUUUUUCCUAACAGUCGGGUAAUUUAAUUUGUUUUCAAAUACAAUGCAAAAGUUUUAUUCAUAAUUAUGGUUAUCACGAUAAUUAGAGCUUACAUAAAGAAAUAGGUUGUCAGUACGGGAGAAUUUGUACCGAUUACCGAUCACUGCUCAGUAAACUUAUGCCCGAAUACUCAAACGCUACUCAAUUUUAAGACGCUCUCAAAUGUAGUUAUGUCACUAUCAAUCUUUAUAUUUAUAAUUCUUCUGUACGUGUGUAUGUCACUGAACUCCUCUUAAACGACUAGACGGAUUUUGAUGAAACUUUUUGUGUGUGUUCAAGAGGAUCUGAGAAUGGUUUAGAUUCACAAUUUUGUUCGCUGGACAAUGUUUUUUUAAUUAAUUUUUAAUUUAUUAGUAGUUGUUGAUUUUGGAAUGUUUUACAUCGGAUCCGACGGACGGCGCUACCAUCGCAGUGUCAAAUAUUAAUGACGUUAGAUAUUGUCAUAACAUUUGAAUAAUAAUUUUCAUCAAAAAGGUCCAGAAAAUUUUCGUGUAGACAGGACAACGUCUGUCGGGUCCGCUAGUUCUUUAUAAAAUGAAAGAGAUAGCACGAUAUUUAAGUAUAACUUAAAAUUGAGUAGCAUUUGAGUAUUCGGGUGUUAAUUUUUUAUCUGAUACGAACGGACAGAUUCAAGCCAAAGCAUGGUUCUCUUUGCUUUCCAAGCGGAGAGAUUAUGUUAAACUUUUCUUUUAUAGAGGAGACCCACAGUCCAGGGGCCUUAGUCUGCUAUUACAAUUGUGUCAGAAUGGUCGAUCACCGAGCAGUGGGAGAGGGAUGGAGCUAUACAACCUUCAUAGCUCCGUCCCUCUCGCACUGCUCAGUGAGGCCCCAGCCCCCAGCAGUGGACUCUUAAUAAGUUGUUGAUGAUGUAGAAUACAUGUCUUCUUUGUACGGGCAACCUAAUCCUUUAUGUAAGCGACUAAUUUCAAAAUUAAAUACGUACCUAUGGUUACAUGUUUUGACAUAUUACUUUUAAUUACGUUUUACGAUUUACUCACGUAAGUGUUUGACGAGGGUAACUCGACUAGUUUCAAGCUAAACUAGAACCCACAGUCAUACGCGACAAACAUCAUUGCGAUUAGCGCGUGUAAUGCUCUUAUUUCUUUUUUUUAUAUAUUAAAUGGGCCGACGUUUGGCCGCUAUCUCGCCUGAUGGUAAGUGAUGAUGCGGCCUACGGUGGAGCACGUCUGCCCAUAAGCAACCUAUUCACUCGGGCUUUGAAGACACCCAGGUUAUACCCAUCAGGAAACACAGACUCCGGCAAGGAGUUCCACUCCCUAGCAGUUCGCACAAGGAA